GAUUUAGUUUGGACAAAGCUGUUCAAAUGGCAAAAUCGCUUUCCAGAAUCCAGAGAAGAAUAGUCUUCAAAGGAAUUUCAGAAGUAAGCUUGAGCCUGAGGUGAGACAGGUAGGACAGUAAACAUUAUCUGUUUAAUAUCUCUUAAUAUCAAGUUUAAUUAGACUGUGUUCUUGCAAGUUGAUUAACACUGGUAAUUAAUUUGUUAAUGUUGCAGCCUAGCACAGAAAAUGUUUCAAGAGUUUAACUUGUACGAAGUGUGAAAGUCUGCUUUUAAAGCUGACAAACUAUUAUGGAACAUGUUGAGUCCAUUAAUUUACAGAGGCCUAAAAAUAACUACACACUUUUCCAGGUUAAGGAAAAGGAUUUUAGGAUAGUUUUAUAAUAACUAUCUUUUGGAAUAACUUUUGGAAUAGUCCUUGCUAGCAGUCAUACACCACUGGUGAUAUUCAGUUGGAUUAAACAGAAUAGAUCCAUUGGAUUCAAUAGGUUUACGUAUCUUUGAACUAAUGUUUGUAAUCACUUGUGUUAUCUUUCUGUGAGAUUCUGCAUAGGUUAUACAAUGGCAUUGACAAUAUGGCAUUACUGCAUUCUAAUUGAACUCGUGCAAUAUUUUGGAAUUCCUAGCUUCAUUCCAUAUGAAAUUGAAGUUUCUUUGCAAUAUUUAUGUUCAAUGUAUUUAUUUAUUUGUUAGCUUGUUUAUUAUAUUUGCAGGCAUCAGCUUUCGUUUCUUCUCAUAAACUUUCAUGAGUCAUUUUGGGAUUUUGAUUUAGCACUUCCCACGGAUUAAAGAAAAAAUCAUAAAAUGGCAUGGAAAGGAAAUAUGGAAUAUUCACUUCACUAAUGUCCAAAAUGUUGAUGAAAUGCCAUAAUUUCAAAUUCAUUAUAAAAUCUUUAUUUUUUUGAAAAAAUAAACUAAAAGCAGAGUGAAAAAUAGGCUCAUUCUGUAAUAGAAAGCAGUGGUUUAAGAGUAUGGUAAUAAAACACAGAUUUGGGGUACAUAUGUUUUAAGCAUUAUAAUGCAGAAUUUGACUGCUGAAUCCCUUCUGGUAUUAUUAUUAUUAUUAUUAUUAUUAUUAUUAUUCUCAGUUCACCUGCUAUUACAUAGGAAAAAACAAGAUGAAUUGAGGCUGCUAUCCUAUAUUUACUUACCACACAGCGGCUCUAGACAUGCAUACAAUUGUGCUGUAUGCUAGUAAUUCUCAAACUGGUUUUUGUGUGUGCUUCCUUGAAGCAUGUUUCUUCACAUCCUCCUAUAUUCCAUACUGACACCUCAAGAAUCUUGCUAGCAUCAUUUUACAUAUGGAUCUGCCACAUUGCACCUGACCAGCAGGAUAGUAUAGAGGAGGCACCUUUUCAUGGUUCUCCUUGGGACUUGGCUAUACAGCUGCAAAUAAAACGUUUUAAGUGUGCUUUAAGUGCAAUAUACAAUAUGACACUAGAUGGCGAUGGUGAGUCUUAUGGAAAAUUCGCUGUAUUUUUUUAAAAAAAACUUGUCCAAAAAAAAGAGCAUUUUCAGAACGGUUUUUAUAUGUGUGUAGAUUCCUCCCAAAUUAACUCUUUUUUCAUCCUGCAGCUAGUGUGGUGAAUCUAGUCUGCAGGUGUUAGUGUGUAUACAUAAGACAGGAUGCAAAGCUCCUCAACUAAUUUGCAUGCAAAACAAGCAGACAAAAACUCACUACUAGUCUCUCCAGUGUGGGCUAGCAAAAAUUUUCUUGAGGCUUUUCAGAGGCACUACUGCGCCUUUAACUAGAAACUUCCUCAUUGGAGUGUCUGACACAAACUGCUUCCUGUUCAUUGUGGCAUAGCAUAGCGGGUUAACUAGUUCUUCACCAACAAUGGGAGUUUUAAAUUGCAGGUUUCUUUUCAUUUCUUUAAUUUUCUUUCAUUUCUUUUUGACUGUGAAUAGUGUCAUUUUACUUUUUUUUUUAAAAAAAGGGGAAGCUUGCGGAAUUGUACAAUUAUGGGGAAAUUAAGAGGCAAUUCAUCACUAAAGUCACAAAAGGCAGCUUCUAAUUAAAAUGCCAGGUGAAGUUUGUUGAGUAGCGCUUACUCUAAUAAUAAUAAUAAUAAUAAUAAUAAUACUCCACCUGUCUGUCUGGGUUUCCCCAGCCACUCUGGGUGGCUUACAGCAGAUAUAAAACAUAGUAAAAUAUUAAACAUUAAACGGAUGCAGACCAUGGUGAUGCCUAUUUCCAGAAACUAUAGCACCAAUGUAGGAGUUAGGUAAGGGAUGCGGGUGGCGCUGUGGGUUAAACCACAGAGCCUAGGGCUUGCUGAUCAGAAGGUUGGCGGUUCGAAUCCCCGUCACGCUCCCGUUGCUCGGUCCCUGCUCCUGCCAACCAAGCAGUUCGAAAGCACGUCAAAGUGCAAGUAGAUAAAUAGGCGGGAAGGUAAACAGCGUUUCCGUGCGCUGCUCUGGUUCGCCAGAAGCGGCUUAGUCAUGCUGGCCACAUGACCUGGAAGCUGUACGCCGGCUCCCUCGGCCAAUAAAGCGAGAUGAGCGCCGCAACCCCAGAGUCGGUCACAACUGGACCUAAUGGUCAGGGGUCCCUUUACCUUUAGGAAUUAGAUGGAGCCACCAUUUUAGUUCUGCUUCUACAAAUGAUUGCAGAAAAGCAAAGUGUCAGCAGUGUUAAGGGCUCCAGUAUGGAAUAGGUCUAGGUGACAAACCUACUACAGUACCUGAAAUCUAAUUUUCUCUAUUUACAGAUUAUUAUUAUUUUUAACAGGAGAAAAUGUGUAACAAUGCAUGAGUUUGUGAGGGGCUUCCACAACUUCCAAAUGAAGGCAGGGAAUUAAAUGCUGCUCUUGCAGUAAAAAGGCCCUGUGGCCAUAGAGCAGAAGAUGCAAAUUUUGUUUUUAAUUUGUAAGGGGCCUUCUCACACCCUUAGGUUAGGUCAGAGUGGAUUUGUAGCUAUGACCAGGGUGUGGGGGUGGAAUUUGGGGAGGAUACAGUUGGGACUGGUGGAAUGCAAUCUCCUAUAUGAGACGGGGGCCUCAGCCAGGGUUGAGAAACACCGGCUUAUAUCCUCCAGUAUACCUGUACAAUUAAUAAGCCUUUUGUUGAAUAGCAAAUGGAAAGAAGCUUAUGUCCUUUAUAUAUGAGAGUGCAAAGUUAAGAAUCUGCUUCAUUUUCUAUCCUGCUGGCUCACAAAGGUUAGAAACAGCACUGGUGAGCCAAGUUAAAUUCUGGUGUUACAUUCACUGCAUAGUUAAGAGUUCCUAUCUUUUAAAAUUAUGUAUGUUAUUAAAAUUGUAAUAAAUAUGCAAUCUCCUGUCCUAUUCAAUUUAUUUCUCUCUUUCAUCAAAGAUGAGUUCCCACUGACUCUGUGAAGAUAGUGAAGUCCUAGGCAUUGUAGUGGAGAAAUUAAGGAGCCUGAGGCAGCAGCAACAUCCUACCUAGCCCUUUCAUUUACACUUAAAACACCCUCCAGGGAGGGGGGGAAACCUUUUUAUGGGACCCCAUGAAAAAAAGUGAAAAUGAUGAAAACUAAACUUGGUGUGGAGUUCGUUCAGUUGGAUAACCUUGAAAAGAAAAAAAAGGAAAGGAAAAGUAAAUCCUUUCAGGACACAAAACAUACACACUUUGAGACCUAGAUUAACCCCAGUGUUUGAACUAAGCAAUCCACAUGCUUAAGAGACCUUUAAUGGUCUAUUAACUAUAUUCUGCUCAACAUUAUAACCAUUCUAUUAUCCUUUUGGAUUUUUAUAUAAAUUACUAAUUGCUACCUGCCAGCUUUGCCUCUCUGCUUUUCAAUUUACCAUGUAAACUCCCUUAAUAUAUGUUGAAAUGUUUGCAUAAACUAAAAUAAUACACCUGUUCUGUCAAAUGCCUCAGACAAUCACAUUUAGAUUAGAGGCUUGCAAAAACAUGCAUUUAAAACUUGACAAUGCAUGUACAGAAUUUAACCACGUAUAACAUAGCAUUCCAAGCUGUUUAUUCAACUAUAAUUUAUUUUACUAUGAAGGAACCAUUUGGCUUUGCUAAUGGUGUAUAUAUCUAGUAUUAAUGCAUCUUCUCUUGAACGUUGCCAUUAUUUCCACAUUUUAAACUGAAGAAAGAGAUGAAACAGUAAAUACUGAAUAGAUAUAUAUAUAGAUAUAUCUCAUGCUUUCUACAUGUGUAUGAAAUUUUCUGCCUAGCUGCCAGUUUAUCACCUCAUUUAAAAACUAUACUGAAGUUCUUAAAUAAUUAUAAAUUAUUGCUAAUUAGGAUAUAUACAUAUUCAUGACUUACAACAGGGGCAUAAAACCCCCCAAAUCAAAUGACUUGGAGGGUCAAAGUGUGCCCCUGUAAAGGCCCAAGGGCUGCAACCAUAAGAUUUCACACACAGUCUAUUUCCCUUCAGUUUGAUGGGUACAAUUUGGCAAUUGUGAGGUUCACAAGCUGCUACAAGUGUUUCACUUCUAGAGUUCCAGGCAAGGAAAUACUGGAAGGGCAUGGCAAUAAAAAGGCUUUGCAAGAUCGUUACCUGUCAAAGUCCACCUCCUGAUAGCUGGCUUCUUUCCUCAUCAAUAUGAAGAACAUUGGCUUGCUUUGGAACCUGAGGCCCAUGAACUGGUUUAAAGGGCAAGCUGGGUCUAUUUCAGUACUUCUGAACAAAAAAUAUAAAAAGAGCCUUGAGUCCCAAAGCUUAGCGAACCCAAUCUCCUGUUUCUCACAGUGGCCAGCCAGGUUUUUUGUGGGACGUCCACAAGGAUGAUAUGUUGACAACAGCCUUCUCUUGCUCCUGUAAUUGGCCCCUAUUCAUAGACACACCUUCGCUGAUCAUAGAUGUAGCAGGUAGCUAUCAUGACUGGUAACCAUUGAUAUCUUCCAUGAAUGUACUUGCCUACACUCCCUUUAAAAACUACCUAAGAUAGUGGCCUGAAAGUGGCGUGAGGUAGACCAAACCUGGAAAAGACAUAGGAAAAAUAAAGUUUUGGAAGAGGAUCAAUUGCCCAAGUCCAUAUCCUGAAGUCUGCCUUUUUUCUUCUUCAGUGUGAGGAAUACUGGUUUGCUGUGCAAUUGCCUCAAGUCCUGAUUCAAGGGACAAGUAUAAAGCAACAGAAAAGAUAUCAGAGCAAUUUACAACAAUUAUAUAGGCAAUAUAAAGAACAUCAGAACUAAAAACACAGUUCACUAACUAUUUCAGCAAGACUGUGGAAGAAUUCAGUAGCCUAUCUGUUUGUACGCAAACCUUGUAUGGCUUCUUUGCCCUAAAAAACACUGGAUCCUUAGGGAUCCUUAUGGCACAUCAUGGGGUGCAAAAUGUAUUGACAGAGACCCCAGAGAACAAAAUAAAUUAGCAGAGUCUUUUGCUUGAAGCCCCUUGCUUAUGGAAAUAUACCAGCAAAGUACCAGCAAAGAUUGUGCAUGUGCAUAUUAAGGAGUUCUGACUGGCAUUCUAGGGUGACCAGGCCCCUGUGCCUUAAAUAGUUAUGCAGCAGAAGAAAUGUAAACAGGAUAAUCAUCUGAGUUGGUAUGCAACUAAGUUUUACUCAGAUAGACCCAUCAAAAUUAAACUACCUACCCUUACUUUUAUUUGUUUACACAAUUUAUAUAUUGCUACAAUAGUUUCCAAGCAAUAUCUAAACAGCAUUCUGUUCAUUAAUUUCAAUGGGUCUCCUCUGAGUAAAACUUUGUUGAAUGCCAUGCAUUGUUUGGUGGUGCUGCAGGACUGAACAUGAGGAAACCUCUCAAUUUUCAGAGAUGAAUUCUCUAGUUAUAAUCUGUCAGCCAACUGAUUAUGAAUUAAACUACUUGGCUAGAAACGAUUUUGAUUGCAAGUGCUGUAACUUUAUAAUUUAUAGGUUUCAUAUGGCAAAUGCUAGUAAUAUGGCAAAUGCUAAUAAACGCUCAUAUGUAGGAUUUGAUUUUAUAAGGGUAAUACAUGUUCCACAGCACUGCUACUUCUAGAUAAGAAAUUGUGUGUACCUCACAUGUACAUUGUCACAUAAUGUUCAUGUGGAGGAGCCCCGCAGGUGGCAGGCUUCCCAUCACAGUUAUGCACAAAAAAACCAGACACAUCUGUGUUCAACACAUAAGACUUUGAACAUGCAGAUAGAGGUUUCUCUUUCUUUCUCUCCCCUCAUAAAAUAAACUUUCAGAUAUGAUUGUGGCUGGAAUAUUUAAGCAUCUCAGUCAGAAGACCUUUUUUUAAACCCAACUAGCUUUAAUUUGAUUUCUUUAGAUACAGUACUUAGCUUUCCUUAAAACAUGGCAUAGUAGUAAAUUAAUGGUUUGCUGACCAUUUUAUACAGUGCUGUGAUGUGAAUGAUCUUUGGUCUACUCAGUAGACAGGGCAACAGUUAUCCUGUUGUUGUUGUUUUUGUUGCUGCAGUUAAACAGCUAUUCUGACAUUUAAAUGGUUUAUUAACUCAAGUGAGUUCAAAGUGAAUUCUGGCAAUUUAAGAACUUUUUCCUCACCUCUUUUUGUGCAAGAGAUGAGGCCCCUUCACAAGUAUGCAUGCAGUGCCACUAGGAACAAAGGUUUCAAAAUUCUUGCUGCAUCACUUGGAUGCCAAUUUCUGCUUUCGGCUGUCACUCCCUGCCCAUUAAUGGUGCAGCCUGAAGCAUCUCACUUCACCCUUCUACAUCAAUGGGCUAGCUAUAUACACAUGUGUAGUAGCUGCUUUCCCUAUUUGUGCAACACUGAAGCCUCGUGAUUGGAUUGGAAAGACCCAUGUGAUUAUUCACGGCCACAACUUCCUCUAUCCACAAGUGUAUUCACAUUCACCCCAAGGAAGCACCUGUCUCCACAGCUGAGGUGUCUUCAUUUGCAUGGAUAUAUGUAGGUAAAAGAAGUUCAAAAUUCAACGCAGGCACAAGAAAAUAGCAGAAAGGACCUGAGACAGUGGAGGAGGCUGCAAUACCUUGUAAUUCUUUGGUGUGUAGAGAAAGGUUGUCUGUUCAGAUAACAACCCUGAAUCAACCAUCUGUCAAACCUUUUAGAAUACACACAAUAACACAAAUGUGUAAAGGAGGAUACUGUAUUCCAUAAAUAUUCUGUUUCACUGGUUUCAAUUAGUUUCACACUGACUGUUCCAGAAAAUGAAUAAUAGUAGCAUGCAUGCAUAUAUAUAUAUAUAUGAAUGAUUUGUUGUUUGCUUGUGAAAAGAUAACACAUUAUUUUAGAAAAAAAUCAGUGUUGGGUUAUAUUGGUUUGUUUUGAGAACAUGAAUUUGCCAUGGGUAGGUAGACUGAUAGAUUUAUUUUAGACAUCUGUAAAAAACACAUCAAUAAUACCCUUUGUAAAGUUUUCCCAUGGAAUUCCUGCUGCAACAUGACAAAGGCAUUUGUUAACGAGAAUUGCAUGGCUUUUUUCAUUCCACCCCCACCCACUGUGGCCCUUUUUUGGGAAAGGAGGACACAAAUUUAGUCACGGUGCAAUUUGUUAAAAAACCUACAUGUAAUGAUAAAAACGUCAUUGCUAGAAGUUCAGUGAAUGGUUAAAGGCCACGAUCCAGAGCGUGCGUUUUGCAUCUGCCAAGCUCUUGUUUGCUUCCCUCCUUUCUCCUUCCCACACCCCACCAUGCUGCAGUUUUGUCUCUGGAUAAGCAUCUAUGGUUUAAUGGAAAAUUAUAUUUGGCAUCAUGUGGUUGCCUAUGUAGUUUCAUUAGCAAAUAAAACAGGAGAAUUUUAAUGAGAUGCACUGAUAUCAAAGUGUUUGCUGCUUAGCCACAUUAGAUAUAUGAUUUGCUGUCAUGAUAAUGAGUUGCAUAUUAACUUUGUUUUAUUGACUUUAUAAUGAUGUAUGACUGUGGCGAGGAUGACAGAUAGCGCACAGGAUUGUUGUGGAGGUAAACAAAAUCGAUUUGUAAAGCACUUUGUAAUGUAAAAUAUGCUAUAGAAAUAUAGAAUUGCAUCCAGACUGAAAUCAGUGGAAUUUAAGAUAGUCAUGACUAACUUAAGUCCCAUCUAUUUCAGUGGGUCUACUCUGCCUAAGUCCUCAAACCAGAGUGGUUAAUUUGUGACCAUCAGAAUGCCAUUGGACUUGAACUCCCAUCAUUCAUGACCAUGGAGCAUGCAGGCUAGGACUAAUGGGAGUUGGAAUCUGACACCUGGUGGUCACAAGUUACGUAGCUGCCCCUGCCUGUUUUCAACACAUUACAGUGGUACCUCGGGUUACAUACGCUUCAGGUUACAGACUCCUCUAAACAAGAAAUAGUGCUUCAGGUUAAGAACUUUGCUUCAGGAUGAGAACAGAAAUCGUGCUCCGGCGGCACAGCAGCAGCAGGAGGCCCCAUUAGCUAAAGUGGUGUUUCAAGUUAAGAACAGUUUCAGGUUAAGAAUGGACCUCCGGAACGAAUUAAGUACUUAACCCGAGGUACCACUGUACUCUUGAAGUUGCUCUAUUGUAAAAAGGGAAAGGGAACCCUGAGCAUUAGGUCCAGUCAUGGCCGACUCUGGGGUUGCGGCACUCAUCUCGCUUUAUUGGCCAAGGGAGCCGCAUACAGCUUCCGGGUCAUGUGGCCAGCAUGACUAAGCCGCUUCUGGCCAACCAGAGCAGCACACGGAAACGCCGUUUACCUUCCCGCCAGAGCGGUACCUAUUUAUCUACUUGCACUUUGACGUGCUUUCGAACUGCUAGGUUGGCAGGAGCAGGGACUAAGCAACGGGAGCUCACCCCAUCGCGGGGAUUCGAAUCGCCAACCUUCUGAUUGGCAAGUCCUAGGCUCUGUGGUUUAACCCACAGCGCCACCCGUGUCCCUUGCUCUACUGUACUACCCUAUUAAUAAAAAGUGGCUCUUUAAUAGAUCUUGCUUUGCUGUUUUCUUCUUCAAAAAUAAAAUAGGUCUAUAGUCUCCUUGGCUGAAAUAGAAUAGGGCAGAUUGCAGCAAUAAUAAAUUUCUUCGAUGGGCUUACAAAUGAAUGACCUGAUCUUGUUGCCUCUUAAUCAACCAUGCGAUGCACUCAUAAGAUAAAGGCGCUGCUUUUAUCUCUGACAGAAACUGCAGAGUGUAGUAUAGUCAAAUUAGGACUGCAGAAAGCCAGGUUCAAAUCUCCGCUCCAACAUGAAGCUUCCUGAGUGACCUUGUGUCAGUUUUCAUACCUAACUUAUUGCAUAGAGUUGUCUGAGAAGUGGGUAGCCACGUAUACCACUCUGAGCUCCCUGGACGAAGGGGUGGGGAAAAACAUAAAAAAUAAUGUAGCACUGAUGGCUGGACAGUGGCAUAAUGAUACAGCAUGCACGGCUAUUGCAUAUUGUUUGUGGGGAUGGGUAAGAGAUUCAGGAGAGGCAGGGUCGCAGGCAGCUCUGCUAUUUGUAUAGUGAAAUAGGGAUAGAUGAAUCUAUUUCAGUUUCAUGUCAGUUUUCUUUUUUUAAAAAAAUAAUAUUUAUUACUUUUCCAACAAUUUCAACACUACAAAAUAAAUAAAUAAAUAAAUAAAUAAUACAAUACAAUACAAUACAAUACAAUACAAUACAAUACAUAACACUAACAGAUUAAACUAACAAAACAAAACAAAAACAGUUAAACACAUCAAACAAUUUCAAUAUCUUAUCUUUCAUUCACUUAUUUCCACAACCUCCUCACACCUCCCUUUUUGUAUUCCACUUCUGUUAAUUGUUUCAGCAAUUCCUUUCCAUCUUCCUCUGUUUUCUAUCCUAUAAUUGUCUUAACACAUUCUAACCUUAUUUUUCCCUUUAAUUCUCUAUUAAUCUAUUUAUACUUAAUUCCUUAUAACAUUUCUACUAAAGCCAUAUAACUUCAUUCCAACAUUUUUCUAACAUUCAUUAAUUUUACAGUAUUUCUGUAAAUAGUCUUUAAACUUUUUCCAGUCUUCUUCUACCGACUCUUCUCCCUGGUCUCGGAUUCUGCCAGUCAUUUCCGCCAGUUCCAUAUAGUCCAUCAUCUUCAUCUGCCAUUCUUCCCGGGUGGGUAAAUCUUGUGUCUUCCAAUACUUUGCGAUGAGUAUUCUUGCUGCUGUUGUUGCAUACAUAAAAAAAGUUCUAUCCUUCUUUGGCACCAACUGGCCGACCAUGCCCAGGAGAAAGGCCUCUGGUUUCUUCAGGAAGGUAUAUUUGAAUACCUUUUUCAUUUCGUUAUAAAUCAUCUCCCAGAAUGUCUUAAUCCUUGGGCAUGUCCACCAAAGGUGAAAGAAUGUACCUUCAGUCUCAUUACAUUUCCAACAUUUAUUGUCGGGCCAGUUUCAUGUCAGUUUUCCGUGAGGUUAAGCAUUAUUCCAUUCUCUCCUGUUUUAUGCAGAUUAAAAGAAAGAAUUCAUGAAAAAUAGCAUUUAAAGUGUAUGCAGUUCUCUCCCUGAUAUACCAGUUUAGUAGGCUCUUUCUCCUAAAAUAUACAUUUUCUGCUUUUCUAUGCAUUAUUCCCUAAAAUAUGUAUGUUGUGUGCGUUUCCCCCACAAAAUGAGUAUUUUUCUAUUUGUUUUUGAACCAAUACUACAUCAAAACAUUGGGAGAUGUUCCAUCCUGAUCCACGUAUAAAUUUAGGAGCUGUGAAUUGUGUUUUAAAAUGUAUUCCUACAUCAUAGUGGCUGCCUCCAGUCUACCUCUCCUAAACACUGUCACCUUUUGGAUAACUAUAGUCUAGUAAAGGACCAACAUAGGAGGCAUUUCUCCUGUGUUCCAUUGCUCCCUUCCUGUUCUGCUCCUUGUGAGUUUGGACUGGGGAAAGAGUGGGGAGGGGGGGACUUGGUUUUUCAAGCUCAAAGGGAGUCACCAUGAAGUCCUGUCCCCAAUCUACAUGACCUUGUGCUACGGCAUCAGAUUCAGUGGGCUCUUGCAAGCCACACAAUGGUUCCUUGAUCACUGAUGGAAAACCCAUCUGGCUCCUUAGCUAGUGACAAUCCAAAUAAAUGUUGUGACCACUGUUGGAUUCCAUGGUCAUGACAACUCCAACUCUAAGACAUGUCCCUUUUUUCUUCAAUAGUCUUUAAUCCUUAAUGAUAUGAAUUGUUCUUUGUUCUUAUUUUGGAGCUACAGCUGUUCCCUGCACUGCAGAGUUACACUCAAUAUAAAUCUCAGUGUUCUUCUUUACGUUUCCCCAAAGGGUUUCCUUCAUUUCGUCCCAUGUACUUUUAAGUGGACUAAGGAUAGAAAACUUAAGCAGAAACUUUUAAAAUACUGAAACAUGUUUAUAUUCAUGCAAAUAAUCAGUGCUUGGUGAAUAGUAUUUUUAUUUUAUUUUUGCAAAAUUGCCAUAGUAAAUUUUACCAGCAAAGUCCAAGUUGAUAUCUGUUUGUAGAUACAUUAACCUUGAAUGUUCUUUAGUGGGAAUCCAUCCAAAAAUAUUGAGGGGGUCUAAUUAUAUUUAUAUGCAUACAGUUUCUGAAAAUACAGGUCAAUUAAUUGCUGAGAUUUAAUUUAGAUAUUUUUCACUGAGUCUGCAAUUCAUGUUCAUUUUGGCUAAAUUACCCUUGUUUCUUCAUCGUAUUUGCAAAAAAAGGAAAGAAAAGACUUCUGCUUAUUGAACUAUUACUACAGGAUCCAGCUUCCCCCCUAAAUUACACACUUUUUGCAUAAAUGUGCCUAAUUACCUGAAUUCAGUUUUGAUUAGCAGUGUUAAUUGAUGCAGCUGUGGAUGGGAUCUGUUUACCUAAAUUACCAUGUGCAAACAGCAAUACGUCUGAAAGUGAAUAUGCUGAACUGAAAAUACUAAUUAGCUGAGACAGAUUGUUAUUCAAGUCACAUCUCAGGGCCUUUUUAAUGAAAGCCUGGAUAUGUCAGGGCUUUAUGAUAUGCAGACAGAAAUCUCUAUAUUACAUACGAUUUCCCAAAGUUAAUUCAUCAGAGCAGAUGGGAAGUCGUUUGGGUUUCUUGUGAUUUACUUCUAGUGUUAAAUAUGAAUAUUGUGCUUUAUUGACAACAUAGACAUUGUUUUGGAACCCCCUGCUUAAAAAAUCAUAGUGAAUACUAUGACAACAAAGCCAGAAUUUAUAUUUUGGAGCUAGCAGGGCAGUGCUCAGAUCUUCCAAGAGUUCUGAUUACUAGGAGUACUUUGCACUAAGUACAUUAGUGUGUCACCUGGAGGAUGUUCAUGGGACCAAGAAAAGUGCUCCUAUAUCUUUCAGGGGCAUGAAGAUCUGAUGAAGGAAUAGCAUAAGAAAGGGAUGGACAAAACUGUUAAUUUCAGUUUCUCUCUCUUUCUCCCAGUCUUAAGUUUACUUUGCCACAUUUCUGAAUCAGUUUGUGAUUUUUUUCUUCUGAAAAGGCUAUCCUUUUAGGGCACAUUUCUACUGUUAUACAGACUUUUAUGCAGUUUCCAGGAUCCACAUGUUUGCAAGCAAUUUUUCCUAAUAUAAUCAUUUUUGUAUGUUUGAAUCCAAAAAUAUAUGCAUUUUAUACACUCAUUCUGUACACACUUUUUUAUUUUCUUUUUAGAAGAUCACAAAAUUCAUGAUGUGAAUUUUACAGGAUCACUCAUUUCAUGUACUGUUUGGGGAAACGCAAGGUAGGUAGGUUCAAAUUAAAAUGUGACCAAACAGAAUUUCUUCCCCAUCCUUAGCACCAUGACUAUGAGUCUGAAAAACAGAGACUGACUAGUAAUCUCAUUGCCCUCUGGUUACAUAUCUUCCUGGCCUUAGACACAAUAGUGUAAGUGCUGUCUUGAGUUCAUUCUGAGCUCAUUUUAUUUAGGUUUCCCAGCCAUGACCCGAGAUUGCUGAUGGACAGAAGGUUGACUCCAGGACUAAAGUGGCUUUGGGCAAAGUGUCCUCUGUUGGUUAGUCCUUGUGGACUUACCAGGCUAAAUUGUCAUCAUUCCGAGCAUCUGUCCUUUACUCAUAGUGCACUAGGAAGGUCCAGGACAGGUAGCAGUGGGCCUUACUAGGCUUCUGAGACCUUGGCAGUUCCCCAAGGAUAAAAGACCUGCUGGUGUGGUUGUAAUAUUAAACCAUAGUCUAGUGUAAAGUAAAGGUAAAGGGACCCCUGACCAUUAGGUCCAGUCGUGGCCGACUCUGGGGUGGCUGUGCUCAUUUCGCUUUUUUGGCUGAGGGAGCCGGCAUACAGCUUCCAGGUCAUGUGGCCAGCAUGACUUAGCCGCUUCUGGCGAACCAGAGCAGCACACAGAAACGCCGUUUACCUUCCUGCCGGAGUGGUACCUUUUUAUCUACUUGCACUUUGACGUGCUUUCGAACUGCUGGGUUGGCAGGAGCAGGGAUCGAGCAACGGGAGCUCACCCUGUCACGGGGAUUCAAACCGCCAACCUUCUGAUUGGCAAGUCCUAGGGUCUGUGGUUUAACCCACAGUGCCACCCGCGUCCCAUAGUCUAGUGUAGCAUCGUGUAAAUGAACGUCACUCUCAUACUUUCCCUGUUCUCUCUCCUCUCUGCUGUGACUACAAGAAGCAGAUUGGAAGCAUUUUCUUCCUUUUAAAACAAACCUCAGUUUAUCCUCAGGGCUUGACACCUGUGGAAGAAAAUGCUUUGCCUCUUUCAUAAAAAUAUAUAUGAAAUUGCUUCUCUUCCUGCAAAAUCAACUGCGUAGGACAACUGCCCCGACCUUUUAUAUGAAAAGCUUAUAUCUUUGAAUGACUGUGUUGCAUAUAUAUUUUUAACAUCUGAGUUGGCUGUAAGGGUGUGAAGAGUAAUGUGUUCUGUUGCUGAGAAAGUGGCUAGAAAGAUGUUCCCCAACCCCUCAUAAUAUUGGAAUUUGAGGUUCUCCAAUGAAGCUGAGUAGUAGAAGAUUCAGGACGAAAAAGGAGGAAGUGCUUCUGCACAUUGUUAAAUUAUGGAAUUUGCUCCCAUAAGAUAUGGUGAUAGCCCACAACUCAGAAUGCUUUAAAUGGGGUUAAACAAAUUCAUGGAAGCUGCUAUGAUGGGCUGUAGACUAUCUCCAGGAUGAGCUGCCGUGUGCCUCUGAAUAUGACUGGAGAGCAUCAGUGGGAGAAGGCAUUUGUGCUCAUUUUUGCUUGUGAGCUUCCUUUAGGCGCCUGGCUAGCCACUGCAGGACACAGGAUGCUUAACUAAAAAGGCCUUUCGUCCAGCAGGACUGUUCUUGUGUUCCUUAACAGUGAGUUUCAGCGGCAAGAACAGAUUUAACCAGACGGAUUCAGGCUGAAAUUCUUGCUCUGCCACAACCUUCUCUCAGUCCAACCUACAGGGUCAUUCUAAGGCCAUAAUGGGAGAACUCUGUACAUUGCUCUGAGCUCUUUGGACUAAGAACCAGUGUCAGAUAACCAAAUAGGCAGAGUAGGCACUGGCCUAUGGGCCCCACACCUUUUAGGGGUCCUGCGACGAUCAAAAUAAUAUUGAUUUGAUCUCGAAAAAAAAUGAUAAUCAAGCUUUCUUAGUUCAGUGUUAUCCCACUAGAGCACACACACGAGAGGGGCCCAAGAUUUCGACUACCUAGGGGUCUCCACAGGGUUUAAUCCAGCACUGGGAAGGACAAGUUAAAAUUGUAAUCAAUAAGAACCCACUGCAGUGUGGUGACAGAGAUAUUAUGUCAUUUUUUGUUUGUUGACCCUGCUUUGUCAGACUUAAGCUACACAAACCACUUUAUUAUGUGGUGGAAUCAUUCGUGGGCUGCACCAUUUUAGACUGUUGGUGAGAUAUUGUGCUUUUGAAUGCUCACCCUCCUCGAAGAAAGCCCUCUCAUACGUAGAAAGCCAUAACUCUUUAUGGUUUUCUUUGUGCAGAGAAUUUUUCUUUAAAAAAAUACAGUUCUGUAAUUCCUUCACCUGUACAGCCUAAAGUGUAACUACUAGGAACGUUUGUACAUGAUAAGGUGUUUGUACAGAUUGAGAAUUAUACAAACAUUACCAGGAAUUGCCUAUUUGUGCAAUACAUGGUUUCAGCACUCUUAAGACACUUGAAGAAAGAGUUGAAUCCUAAUCACGUUUACUCAGAAGGAAAUCCCAUGCAGUUUAAUAGGAUUACUUGGUAAGUGUUGUUAAGAUUUGAGCCUAAGGAAUAUAUAUCAGUUUAACAACAAAAUGCAGCAUCAAUGUCUUAUAGGUGAGAAAAUGAUGGGAUAACAUGAAAAUAUGAAGGUCAAAUAGUAACAAUCUUGCAGCAUUUUUUUUUAACUUGCUUAUAAGACCUUUAGGGCAAGAAUGAUGCCUGUCUUUGUGCAAUGCAAAGCACAACAGCUCCAGUGAGCCCCCUCACAGUCUCUUGGUGCUACUGAAAUAUAAGUAUUAAAUAAUUCAAGACUAAUAAAGAUAGGAAACUGCAGAGCUAGAGGGAAGCAACUCUGCAGCUAAAGCUGAACAGAGGUUGAUAAAAUAUUGGACCUUGUUUUAGUGGUAUCAGCAGAAGAAGCCGUAAUGCUGUGUGUUUCUGUGAAAACCAUGCAGCAAAAGUAUUGUCAGCAAACUUUCCAAUGCAUAAGGGAUUUUAGAGGUCUGAUCCUCAAGAUAUCUCUUAUGUCAGUUCUAGAUCCUACAAGGGUCGCAGUGUCAUAGCAAGAUCAACAGCAAUUCUUAUUUCUCCUCUGCAGACACAAGGCUGAUUUCCUCAAUAUGUCUUGAUCAGUUAAACUCACUAGAAAAUUAUGUUAAUAUAUCAGUUUUGUAUCAUAUACCUGUCAUUUAUGAUGAAAGAAGCUGGUAAUCAUCACAUUUGGAGGAGGUCCAGAUUGUAAUAUUUCCUUCUUCACAGAACCUCAAGCAGAAGUAUAUUGUUGCAUGACACCCAAUCUCUGGACAAUGCAAGAUUCCAGGGGUUCCAGGGCUCUUUUGAAGGCUUUGGUUUCCUUGGAAUGAGGGACAGUUGAGAUUGUGGUAUCUUUAUGAUACAUGGUUUGUUUACACAAAAUACAACCUAAGCCUACAAUAGAGGGGCUUGCAGCAUUGACACCCCAAUAAGUUCUUGCUUUUCCCACAGCCUCAGGAUCGAUUCAAACAGGAAUUGGGCACGGCUCUGUCUCUCCCAGCUGCCCAUCCUGCAACUUGCUGCUUCUCGCUUCUAGCUCUCACACACAACUCCCAACUCUGUCCUUUGACUUUCUAACUACCAGUGAGUUCAGGGCAGGGGGCCCAUCCAUUUUCUCUUUGGCACAGAGACACUUCCUUUGUUUCCUCAGUAGCCCAUCCUUAGAAAGCCAUUACCCCACCAGGAAGCUAGCUUGGCUCUUCCAGGAAUUGAAUCUGUGCUGUAUCCAGGAAUUAGAAGGGGCCUCAAGCAUACAGCCUACCCUUGUCCCCAAACUCAUAACAAUAUUUAAUAGUAUUUAAACUAAUUAUGCCUAAGGACAUUUGUUGAAAACUUCUUCUUAAAUGAAUUUAGACUUAAGCCCAUAAUUAAAAGAAAAACUAAGUAAUAGAAUCAUAGAAUUGUGGAGCUGGAAGAGACCCCGAGGAUUGUAGCCUCUGGACCAGGAGGAAACAAGCUUGCUCUAUCUUCCCUUUAAAUAUUUGAAGAUGGCUAUCAUAGCUCCUCUUAGUCUCCUCUUUACCAAGCUAAAUAUACCCAACUCCCUCAAGCAUUCCUAAUAAGGCUUGGUUUUCACAUCCUUGAUCAUCUUAGUCACCCUCCUCUGUACACAUUCUAACUUGUUAAUAUCCUUCUUAACUGGACACAAUAUUCCAGGUGUAGUCAGAAUAAAGUGGGACUGUUCCUUCUGUUGACGCAGCCUAGAAUAGCAUUAGCUUCUUUUCUUUUCUUUUCUGCUGCUGCAUCACAUUGUUGAUUCACGUUAAGCUUGUGGUCUGCUAAGACUCUGAGAUUCUUUUCAUAUGUACUACUAACAAGCCAGGUGCCCCCAUCUUAUAUUUGUGCAGCUGGUUCUUCCUGCCUAAAUGUAGAACUUUACAUUUGUCUCUAUUGAAAUUCCUUUAUGUAGUGUGCAAGGUAGAUGCUAUAAACACCUGGGAUUCAUCAAAAGAUGGGAAAUGGUAUGUGUCUAUCCGUCUCCAGUAAAUUAUUAAACAAUUACUGCCAACCAUUAUGAAACCUUUUCUACCAACCAUUGUUAUCAUAGUCGCCUGUUGUGAUAUUUUCAUGUUGUAUAGAUACACAAUUUGGAUUUGCAUUACUAAAUUGUGUAAACAGCCGUCCAGUCUCCCAGAUGUUGAGAGUCCUUAAGAACAAUUGCUCCCUCUCGGGUAUUUGUAAUGGGUGUUAAAGAAAUACAUAAGGGAAGGUGUAGCAUGAGCAUGAGAGCUCUGCCUGCUCAACAUUUUUAUCAGCUAUGAGUUAAAGAGGAACCUUCUAAAGCCAGGAACCUCUGCAGUCAUGGAGGCCACCCAAAAAAUCAGGGUUCUAAAACACUUGAGUAGAGCAGAGUUGGUAAAUGACAGAGCAGCAGAGCCAGUGCAUUCAUCUGCAUUGUGUGCUAUCCUAGUAUGUUAAAUUAACACACAUUAGAAAUGCCUGUAGAAGUGUAGUAGCUACUGUCAAUCUGGAAAAGCAAUAAGAAAAAAGAGGUCCAUAUUGUCAUAGGGAUUAGGAUUUCCUGGCGCUUGUUUCGCAUGACAGUUGAUCUUGCAAGCAGAUUUAGAUCAGAAGUGAUAUUCUUGGGAAUUGACAAAGUGGCAUGUUGAGCACACUGAUUUGGCAUGUAUCUAUGUGCGAUAGGAGCCCUGGGGAAAUGAGCACCUGCAUUUUGUCAUUUUCAAAAUGAAAUAUUGAUGUGGGGCACAUAAAUUCAAAGAUUGUAUCCUCAGAGCUGAAAUGCCUUUGAAAAUCUGGUACCUUCUGACUAGGUAGAGGUUGACUCAUAUUGGAAUGCUAGAAUCCCCCUCCCCCACUAUUGUUAUUUAUUUUUGACAUUUAUACCCUGCCUUUCUAUAAAAUACUCAGUAUGGUGUAGGUUGUGUAGCUUUGCUGAUCUUUCUUGCAUUUCCUUUUUACUGGCAAAUGUAGGCUUCAUGCCUAUGCUCCUGUGCUAGAAGUAUGUUUCAUUGAAGCCAAUGGGACUUCUGAGUAGACAUGCAUAAGAUUGUGCUGUAAGUCUUCUAGUACUGUAUUUGCUCUUUUGGUUGUAUUCUUGAAAUUUGUCUACCAGGAUUGUGGAGGUGCUUAGAAGCCUAAUCUUGAAAAGUAUUUGAUGGGAUAAAAUAUUAGCACCCCCCUUUAAAACAACGUUGAUUGUUUUAUCUAAGGUUUAUAUUCUGGUUCAGAUUUUCAAGCACUAAUCACUCAAACGAAAUGCUAAAAUAAGCUACUAUGAUUUGUGAAGGACAAAGAAUUCUCUACACCUUUUUUCUCUUUUAAAGGUGAUGAAAUAUUAAUCAGAUUCGGCUGCAGCACAUACAAAAUUUAAUCGCAUUGUUCCCAAACCUCAUUUUUGAAAGCUUAUUCUCAUGAUAUCAUUGCCUGGAGCUAAAUCAAUGUUCACAUGAGAGAUUUGGUAAAAUGAAACUUGUAUAUACAAUAGAGUCACAAGGCUUUUCUAUUUUUAUUAUCUGCCUCCAAAUAUCUCUCAUUUUUUUCUUAGUGGGUAAGCUGGCUCUAAUGCAUAAACAUUGCAGUUAGCAAGUGAACCAUACAUUUUCCAGAGCCCCCUUAACUGUCUAGUUUCUUUUUAAAGGGUUGAAAUAAAAAAGCUAUGCUUCUAAGCAGUUUUGUGAAUAUUUUAAUGAGCACUUUUAGAGAUGAUCAAGCCUGGAUAUAUUCUCAGUAAUAUAAUGCAUGUCAGCUCUUCCCAAAUAAUGUCUGGUUGUAAUUUUAAUGAAAGUUCCAGCUAUUUAUUAUCAUAUCUAUAGGCUAUUAACAACCCAAUACAUAAGUCACAGAACCAAAUGAGAUAUCCAGCGGCUAACACAGUUAGGCCUGUAAAUCAGGAGGAGUCACUCAAAACUGAGCUGCGUUCUUAAAACAUCUUUAUCUGUACUAUAAAGAGCUGUGUUUAUCUGGGUGGCGGGGAGCUGCUGGCAGUAAUUGGCUGAGCUGCUGUGAUGUCAUGGGAAAUUCCAGUUGCUGAAGGAAUAAAGAUAUGAGUUUUGCCAUAGUUAUUCACAUUUAGGAAACUCUUCUUAGACCAUUGUACAUGAGGUCACCAUGAACAGAACCACAGAACCACAAGCUUAUUAAAUGGGACUGGAUAUUUUGAUUGCAUUAUGCCAGUGACUUAACAACUGCACUAGUUCCAUAUCAAUUUACAAACCCAGAGCUGGUCUAAAUCAAUGUAGCUUUGAAUGGCUUACGACCAGGUUACCUGAAAGAUUGCCUCCUCUUGCAGAUGCCUUCCUGAACCUUAAUAGUCCCUUUGGAGAUCCUGCUUCCAACAUAUAACGUGAAGUGACUAUUAAGCAAAGGGCCUUUUCCAUAUGGCACUCUGUCUUUGGAAUCACCUCACCAAGAAGAAGUUCAUCUGUUGGCUUCUUUUUGAUGCCAGGUGAAGACCUUUUUAUUCACCAAGGCUUUUGUGUUAAAUCCAGAAGAUUGUUUUGUGCUGUCUCUGUUGUGAGAGAGCUGUCUUUUAUAAUUUAUUGUUUUAAUAGUGAUAAUUAUAGUUAUUUGACAGAACACAUGUGUUAAAAACCUCUUUAAAUGUGACAUUUUGUGUAGAUUUGUUUUAUUAAAUAGCACAUUUAUGUGGGAAUGGGAUAGAGCAGACUUAUAGGUGAACACUUGACCGAGACUUGGAGUGGAAAUAAGAGUCAUUUGUCAGUCCUCAAAAGCAGGAAAUAAAAGCUUACAUCUGUAUCCUGCUUAAGAUGUUUCUAGCUGGCACCUAAGAGACAAUCACCUCGGUUGCAAAUGAGGAUUUCUAAAGAAUUCCAGAACUGGGUUACUGCAGCUGGAAAAGUUCCCUACUUAGUUGACAUCUGUCUCACCCUCUGAAGGAGGGCUAACUCAGAGAAGGGCAUCAGCAAAUGAAGUUAAAGUGAAGGCAGGUUGCCAUAGUAGUAGAUACCUUCUCAGGCAUCUUAUCAAAGUGUCUGCUGUUUGACUAAGCUCCAGGCUUUACUUGCUACUUCCAGAGUAUUCAGGCAUGGCUUUAUUUUCUCUUUAUGCUCCAUGACAGCAACAGUGGCUAAUUUCAGUUUCAAAGCAUUGCAGUUCAACUGUUUAAAUGCAUGUUUAAUUUUCCCUGGUUAACAUAUGCAAAUAGUUUUCUUGUUUCAACCCUUUAAAUAAUUGAAGGAAGUGUUGUUGUUGUUUUAAAAAAUUCUGCACACACACAUAUUUAUACACACACGCAGCACCAGACAGUCCCAGUUUAUUUGAAAGCAUCAACUUCAGUUACUGAAACAAUGCUCAGUCUUCACAUUCCUUUUAACAAGUGUUAUCUCUUUACCCUUUCUGUCUUCUAAAAUGGCAUCAUGCUGGAGGGUUGAAAAAGUACAGUUUGGUUGUCUGUUGCUCUGAAUGUAUUGGUGUUAGGCGGAGGAAAUGUGGAAAAAUAUGGAAAUCUCUUUCCUAUUCAAGUGGAAACUAUUUAGUGAGAUUUGAGGCAGGUUCCAUAAACAUAAUGUGUCAGAUGAAGUCACAGAACCAUACUUUGAAAAGUCCAUUACAAAUGUCUUGCAGCAAUUGCACAGUGAAUACUGAUUUUGCGUGGUACUGCUGCAAGACAAAUGACUCUGUAGUGAAAGAAAAUCUAAUGUUAAUUAAUCUUCAUCAAGGUUUAGUGGAUGAUAGAAUUUAUGUGUUGUACAUCUUACUGGAUUGAAAUUGCAUGAGGAGGAGAAAGCCUGGCUAUAAUUCUGAUGCUGCCAUGUUGAUUGCAAGUCAUUUGGAUAGGUUAACAUUAAACAAAUUUAAUAGAUUUUUUAAAAAUUAAAAAAUCCAGCCAUGCUAACAGCAAAGAGUACAUUAAAUCAGGGGGCAUAGUUUUAAGAACUACGACUUUAAAUAACUACCACUUUCAGAUCCAAAUUGUUGAACCCCUUCCUGUAUGGUAAAUUCCAAUUACUUCCAAAACAAGUUUAAUACUAUUAAACAUUCAUUACUACAUUGGGGCUUAUUCCCAAGUAAAGUGUGCAUAGGAUUUCAGUCAGAACCUAACCCUGCCCAGGGGACAAUUGGAAAAGCAGAGCAACCACCACAUCCAAAGCCCUGGAGACUCCAGCCAGUCAUGGCAGUAGGUGGGAAGGCUCUGUCCUUCCAGGCUGGUGCAAUAGAGCAGCUUGAAACAGGCCCCUCACCUAAAAAUGGAAUGGCAUAAGAUACAGAAGAUCCUUGUCUUACUUAGCUCUGGCCCACCUGUGAAACCCUCUGUAGCCUCCUGUUUGCUUGGGUAGAGAUCAGGCCAUGGCGGCAGAGAAGCUCCUCCCCUCAGUGAUUCUUAUCUCUGUUGAUGAAAGUCAACAGAGAGGUGUCUGUGCUUCAAUCUAACCUCCCCCAGCCAUCCACAUCAGGGGUGUUAGGGUUGCUCCCGUAAUCUAUGUAAAUGGUCUGGAGUUUAGAUAAAUACAAUUUACUUGCUAAAUUUAAUCUGAUUUUUAAAUUCUUAGGAGCACUGAGUGUAUUCUCACAUCAUAUGCCAAAUGAACAUGAGAUGUGCAAAUCGGAUUUACCUGUGAUCUGUUCUAUCAUAAAGCAGGCUUUUAAUAUUCAGAAAAUUCUCAGAUUUUUUCUUGAGAAGACAGGAUAUACGGUAUGUUGACUGUCUGCCGUGCCUCUCCUUUGUCUGUCUUUCGAUAGCAAGUCAAUAAAAAUGAUUAGAGUUGGCACCUCACAAAAUGUACGCCCUUAAACCAUGAAGCUAUAAUACUGUGAAGGAUUUCCCCCCCUGACCUUUUCAAAUUACGUCCAACCAUCUGGGGAAUUUCUCAGUGACUAGAGGUAAUAAGGUCCAAUCCUUUUUGCUAGUUGGCUUCAAAUUCAGCUCCUCACAAGCCUUAAUUUAUCUAUUCUUUUUAUCUCGACCUUGGCAUCUUUUCAAUACUGUAAUCCGUGCAUCUAAUCUUGGUUGUGUUUCUCUUCCCACACCCCCUUCUUCCCCACUCAGGUUUUGGUGUACAAUCAAGCUGUGAAAACUACAGCCAUGAAAGGCCCUCCAUUUAUUGCAUUCUCCAAAAAUGUGAUAUUAGCAUGGGAGGCUAAGCUGGUAUGUUGCCUUUUGAGAGGCGCUUGUUGAAUUUAAUUAGUUUUUAGAUUUCAUCUCCAACCUGCAUCUCAGUUCUUUGCCAUCCUGGGUGAUUUAUGCUUCAGUUGCUUUCAUUCUAUAAAACUUUCUAAACUUAGCUGUGCUGUUGCACUCUGCGGAUUAUUAAGAAGUUGGGGCGAGGUGCUGGUGGGGCGAAUGAGUUUAAAAGUUAUUUGUGUUAAAUUGAUUUCCCUUUAGUUAUCAAACGUGAUAGACACAAUGGCCCGGUAAAUAAGUGAGUCACCCGAGUGAAACACACAAAUAGCUGUUCUAGCCUUUUCUUUUUUUUUAAGCUUCAAUGAAUAGAAUAGAAUAGAAUAGAAUAGAAUAGAAUAGAAUAGAAACGAAACUGGAAGUUAAGAACACAUUUACCAAAAAAGGUACAGAAGUCCCUGGAAGUUCUUAAGAUAAUAAAAGCUUACUUUGUGUUUUAUCUAGCCAAUAUUCUUGCAUUUCAGUUCAGAGAUCUGUGCAUGUAAUCAUCUAUCUACAGUAUGUACAUUGCUGAUGCUAAAUUAGACACCCAUUCCCACUUUGAGGCUCACUGGCCAUGAUGGCUGUGUUCUCCAUCCAGUGCAGCAAAGGACCCUUGGACAGUUAAGUCCAGUCAAAGGCAACUAUGGGGUGUGGCACUCAUCUUGCUUCAGGUCAAGGGAGCUGGCAUUUGUCCACAGACAGCUUUCCAGGUCACAUGGCCAGCAUGACUAAAAUGCUUCUGGCACGAUGGGACACCGUGACAAGUGCCAAAGUGCACAGAAAUGCCAUUUACCUUCCUGCCGCAGCAGGGCCUAUUUACCUACUUGCACUCACGUGCUUUCAAACUGCUAGGUUGGCAGAAGCUGGGACAGAGCAACAGGAGCUCAUCCCAUUGCAUGGUUUCGAACCACCAACCUUCCGAUCAGCAAGCCCAAGAGGCUCAGUGGUUUAGGCCCCGGCACCCUUUUACCUUACUAGAGUCCAUUGCCAUCAUGCAGCCACUGAUAACCUUAUUGUCUAUGAACUUGUCCAAUCUGCUUUUAAAGUCAUCCAAGAUGGUGACCAUUACUACAUGUUGUAGUAGCUAGUUCUAAGUUCUGCCUCAACGUACUUCAUCUCUUGUCACCAGCAUUUCCCUUAAACUUGUUUGGGAAAGACUUCAAGUUUCUGAAGUAGUCCUUCAUGCCUCAAAUUAUUUCCUUGACUCUCCUUGUUGACCAUGCUGGCAUCUUCUUGGCCUUAGUUGUAACUUUGCCCAUCUGUGAUAUACAUUGUAGCUUAUCUUCUAUUUAUUGUGGUUUGAAUAAUCCUCAACCUUUUUUUUUUUUUUUUUUUUUUGGAGGGGGAGAUUUUACUUUCUUGCUUUUCCCUUUUCAGUUCCUUGUUAUUAAUCCCCUCAGUUUUGAAUCUUUUGAAAUCAAAUGUGACAGGAUUGGACACUCACAUCCCACAAAUAUUGAAUUCGACAGUUCUGUGGUCACUGUUUCUAAUAGGUUCAACAGCACUUGCAUUUAAUACCAGGCAAACUACUAACACCAUAUUGGACCCAAAUAUGUCUACAAUCCAGCCAAACAUAAGCCUUUUAAAAUCUGAUUGAUCUCAGUCAGUGAAACUGAAAUCAAUAGGCUUAGAAGUGUUCCGUUUGUUCCGUUUGUUUCUAUUAGCACAGCCAGACAUCCCUUUCAUUCAUCACAGCAGCAUCUGCAUGACAAAAUUUCCAUGGAUUAGGCCAUUGCACAGUUAGCCCUUGCUAUCCACUUGUGGUUCUUGACAGGAAAUGAUACACAUGUGUAUGUUAUGUUUCCUUCUCUGUUCUUGAGGUGCAUGAAUGUGGAGAAAUGAUGUUGAUUCAGAAAAUAUCUAGAAGUCCCAUAAUACAUUCUAGUCACUGAAAAUGUGAACAAACUGACUUGUUGAGCACUUAGAAAAUUGAACCGGAUAUGUGACUCCUACUGCUUUGUCACUUAUUAAUGGCUUAAGAAAAAAGGGCUGUUUAUUAGAUCUGGAUUGUGUUGAGCUUGGGUUGUGGCUGACUGAGGCAGGUCAAAGCAAGGCAAAAGUGGAGAGAGAACAAGGUAAAAUCAGUCCGUGGCCAGCAAGAGCAGGAUUUCCUAGCUCUGGUCAAAAAGGAAGCCUGACCCAGUAGCUUCUGUAGUACUUGGAGAGUGCUAUGUGACUAGCUAUAGCUUAUUGUAAUAAAGAGACUUCCGUGCUUGUGAGACAUUGCCUUUCCUAUGUGUAACAAUUACAGUGCAAAUGAUGAUGGUGAUGAUGACAGGCAAAAUCUAGCUGGUGCAACUCUACAUUGCCUUCAGCCAAUGUGAUAGUAUACAAGUGUUGUUGUGCUCAGGACCUGCUUUUAGGAUUCCCGUAGACAUCUGGUUAGCGGCAGUGAGAGUAGGAUGUUGGAAUAGAUGGUCAACUGGCCUGAUCCAGAAGGCUCUUCUGCUCUUGUGUUCUUCAUUAAUUGCAGCAAAAUCAUGAUUUCUGGAAGAUGUAUUCUAUUCCACAGGGGUGGCGCAUCCCGUUUUACUGCUUGAGGUGAAAUAGGAAGUGCUGCCCCUUCCUGCCACCACUACUACCUCACCUGCUGCGCUGCCUCCACCACCAGUUCUCCGUCGGCUGAAGAGGUGGCGGGGCAAGUGGAGAUGCUGCUUCGUGGUUGGACUGGGUCUGCUACUCCAACCCUGCCAGGGACAUCGGUGUGUCAAAUCAGAUUUGUGAGCAAACGAAGCUACCACAGGCAGUCCAUUGGUCCUGGUAGCUUGAAAGAAGUGUUGUUAGCUCUGGGUCUUUGGUGCCAAGCCCUAGAUCUUCUGCCCUUCCACCCAUGCUUUUUUAAAAAAGAUUUUCAUAACUUUGCUUACAGAGUAGUUGGGGACUUUGGCGGAUUCCAGUUCCAGUGAGAUUCCAUACACCUUCUCUCUUAAUUUUCCCAGAAGUAUAGUAUAUAUUUAUGCAAACUUGUGUUAUAGGCCUGUGUCCCAAGUCUUUUAAGCACCUACUAACACCUCUGAAACUUGGUAUUGUUCACUGUGAAAGACAGCAGCUCUCCAAUGAUCUGAAACAGAAAAUAACCCUUUCGAGGUAUAUUAUCAGAAAUCCUAGCUCUCUGAUCUUCAUCAUGCCUACACUGCAAUGUGCAUGCAUACCCCAUUAAACCUUUGAUAUGCAUCCUUAUUCAGAAAGAACCACAGUCAUUGCACAAAACGGGUUGCACUUUGCCAAAUCUGGAGUGAAGUCAUUUUUUUUUAAUUAUUUUGUACUAUAAUUUUUAAAGGUGUCUUCAAUGGUUUAAUUCAUCACCUUUUAUGUCAAUUGGUAUUGAUUGCCUUGUUCAGUUAGGCAUGUCCACAUGUACAUAAUAGCGCUUCUUAGCUCGUUUUUAAAUUAGACCACCCACAUGCUAUUACUUAUUCCUUUGACCUCUUGCACCAGCACACAGGUGCUGAGAUUGGGGGUGUCUAUGAUGUUUCACUGACACUAAAGACCAGGUACACUGUCAGCAUUUCAAAACACAACAUUACCUGGCACAGUUGUUAGCGACCACGCUUUAAGACUUUCCUUUCGAUGUAAGCUCAUUUCUAAAAUCAUUGUCUUUCUUAAUGAGCCUGAUCUUUCAUAAAACACAAAGAAUAUCAUCAAGUAACCGUGUUCAAAAGGUAAAUGGUCCAUGUUUGCUCAUGCUGUCUUCUUUCAUUAUAAUUUCUUUAUAGUCCAAAGUGUGUUACCCUGUUUAAAAAAAAUGAGCAUUGCCACAGAGGAAAUGAAGUGUCCAAUUAUCUUCCUUAGCGAACCGUGACUGCAGAUUUCUGUGUCUUUGUCCCCUUUUGUCUGAAGAAUAAGUCUUUCCUCCACUGAGAUUGCUGUAAUCACGUAUUUGGGUGGAAUGAAAUAAGAUACCUGGUAUCUUAGCAAGGAGGGGUCUUAGCUCAGUGGCAGAGCUUUGCAGACAGAAGGUCCAUGGUUCAAUUCUUCGUAUGUCCAGAUUUAGCUGGAAGAGACCUUUGUAUGAAAUCCUUCAGAGCUGAUGCCAUCAGCAUAGACAGCAUUGAGCGUUCCUAGGUUAUAAUAUUCAAUAUGAUCACACAUCGUAUUUGGACACCUCCAGCUACAGAAACAGGUGUUUCUUCCACUUGCCACACAGUACCCAUUUCCAAUGCUAGGUUGAGCCCUAGAAGAAGAAGAGCAUUAAUAAAAUUAAUAAAAGAAAUGGAUGUGUGGGGAGCAACUUUGCUCACCUCUUAGCAGCCACAACCAGAUCCCUACAUAACUUGAGCUUCUAAGGCAGAAGCUGUGACUUCCAGGCAGAUUCAGCCCCAGCAACUCUCUGUUUAGAAAUAAAGCAGCACUAAGGGAAAACUAAGUGAAAGUGGGACGUGGGUGGCGAUGUGCGUUAAACCACAGAGCCUAGGACUUGCCAAUCAGAAGGUCGGCAGUUCGAAUCUCCACGAUGGAGUGAGCUCCCGUUGCUCGGUCCCUGCUCCUGCCAACCAAGCAGUUCGAAAGCACGUCAAAGUGCAAGUAGAUAAAUAGGUACCACUCCGGCGGGAAGGUAAACGGCGUUUCCGUGCGCUGCUCUGGUUCGCCAGAAGCGGCUAAGUCAUGCUGGCCACAUGACCCGGAAGCUGUACGCCGGCUCCCUCGGCCAAUAAAGCGAGAUGAGCACCGCAACCCCAGAGUCAGCCACGACUGGACCUAAUGGUCAGGGGUCCCUUUACCUUUACCUUUAAGUGAAAGCUAAAUGGUAUAAGUAUGGCACAUCCUGCAAGUACAGCAGCUAAAGCAGUCUCCUUCCUUGUUUAACAUCUGCCACUGCUCUGCUAAAGUGUGCUGGCUUUAAUUCAACACAUUUGAAACUUCUUUAGCUAUAAUGAAAUCCCAUUUCUAAAAUGAUGUCUGCACGGGAGGUUCCUUCACUCCUUGCCCAAUGCUUUCAUGCUACCAGAAAUGUGGUGUCCCAUAAGUGUAGUGGAAUGUAAGGGUCUAUAUAGGAAGCUGCCUUAUACUGAGUCAGGCCACUGGUCAGUCCAACUCAGGGUUAUGUAAACUAAAUGGAAGCAAGUCUCCAGGAUUUCAGACAGGGAUCUCUCUCAUCCCUACCUGGAGAUGCUGGGGAUUUGGGGAUUGAAAACUGUUAUGUACUAACCUUGGAUCCUAGAACAAUAGGCAAGUAGGAUCCUAGAAUGCAACAACUGAUUGGCUUGCAGGAGAAGACCAAUCAGGGUCCAGGAAGAAGUUAAUUAGCCUAUUAAGCUGGUAGGAUCGUAGAAUGCAACAACUGACUGGCCUGCAGGAAAAGACCAAUCAGGCUCCAGGAGAGAAGCAGAAUCAGCCAAUCACAGUGGGACUCAUUGUGUAAAUAAUGCAUAUAAAAGCCUGAGGCCUGGGGGGUAAUUCAAUCACUGUUUUACAAGCUGCAAUAAAGAGCAUGAAAUCACUACAGGACUCCGAGUAUAUUUCAAAAACCCAGGCCCUUCUGCAUGCAAAGCAGUUGCUCUGCCACUCAGCUAUAGCCCUUCCCCAGAGGUGCAUGGCUUGCAUUCAAGUGGCUGCAAGUUCAGUCCCCAUCACCUCCAUAUAAAAUGAUUAUAGGAACAGUACUGGGACAACUGGCCCAGGACCCAGCACCAAUGGUUGGGCUUAGUAUAGGGUAGCUUUGUGUGACCGUAUUAGAGGAGUGGACCACUGCUCAGUGGUACAUACUUUGCAUGUAUAUGCUCCCAGAUUCAGAGCUCAGUUGAAGAAUCUCAGGGCCAGGAAAGACAUCUGCAUGAUUUCUGCAUGAGUUUAUUUAUAGUAAGCUCGCCACUUACAUGGGGUUUAUGUUCCGGGAAUCACACCUAAAGCCAAAAUCGUGUAUAGUCAGAACCCAUUGGGUUCAUUGACAGCCGGGAUUGCCAAAGUAAUUUCCCCCAGAACUCCACCCACUUUCUGUCCCCUUUUAAUUUUUUUAAUAUUUAUUUACACACGUGUAAAGCUGAAUGGCAACAAGUUAAAUGUGAGUACAUUGCCGGCUUACUGUAUAAUAGUUUUAUACAACCCUUCAUUAAAUUUGAUUCUAAGGUGGUUUACAACAUUUAAAUUGCUAAAAGUACGGUAUAAUCCACAGUGAAAUCAAAAAUAGAUUUUAAAACUACUUCAGAUGCUGUGGUGAAUAAAGAGCAGAUGCCAUAAUAAGGCAGGUAUGGAGAACUGCCUUCAGCCCAAAGAUUGCAUUUUCCUAUGUUCCAUCUUUGGCGUGGGGCACAUGUCACUGGUGGGUGGGGCUAGAGGCAAAAGUGGGAGGCUGUAUUUGACCCCUGGGUCUUAGGUUCCCCACUCCUGUGUUAAGGGGCUGCAGGACUCUUUUGGGGAGGUUUAAGGACCCUUGAACCAAUGGUCUUACUUAGCCUUAGGUAAUCAGUGCUUGCCUUGUUGCCUGAACAGUUUUCAACCAAGUGAAAUCCACCACCUUUGCUGAUCCCUCCCACCAUCUGCCUUGUGAUUGGGGAGAUUGCUGCAAGGGCAUCAUCUUUCUGUGUCACAUAAUAAUAAUAAUAAUAAUAAUAAUAAUAAUAAUAAUAAUAUUUAUACCCCACCCACCUGGCUGCGUUUCCCCAGCCGCAGCCCCUGUCUGCUAUAGUCUUCCUGCACCAGUAGAUAAUGACUUGGAAUUUCCAAAAACUACUAUUACACCUACAAACCUCACAACAGCACCCUUGUGGUGCCAGCAAAUACACAUUGUGCAGAUAUUUGGGCUGCCAGAUAUACAUCUUCUGCUGCUCUUUAUGUGGAACAAUUUAGGACUCAUCUUAGGACUCUGCCCCAUGAGAUUGGCUUGCCCAUCUAAUAAAAACUUACAGACACCCACUGUUUUCUACCCAUAACCUAAGAAUAAAAGGGCCUCUUUGCAGCAGCACGUUUGAAUGUCAUUGUAAUGUCACCACUGUUAGCUGCAUUUAUGUAUCUUUUUACAAGGAUGUGCUUUGGGAGAAAAUGCAGACAGCAUCACUUAUAAUAGAUGGCUCAUUUGUAAUUCUGCAAGCAAUAAAUCCAAAGUAAUGUUAUAAUUUUGAAUUCAGACAAGAUUUCUGGACUGUGCCACACUACUAGAGCUGUGUGUUUUUUUAACUACACAUUUUAAUAUUCAGAAUUACAUUUAAAUAAUAAUGCAUCAGGUAAGAACUGCCUUAAUAAUUUCAACUUUCCCUCCACUCUUACUUUUUUUAAAGCACCGAAGGCAUUGAAACUCAACUUGAAAUUAUAGGAGGGAUUGCACUUUCAUUCAUUCCUGCAAUUUCUGACAUCUCAGUUUGAACAUUGCCUUUCAUACUGCAAUGCAUGUGGGGAAGUCUAAAUAUAUGAUCCAUUGAUACUAAUAUUUUGCAUUAAAGUCUUAGUAUUUUAUAACAAAAUGUAUAAUUCCACUGUUGUUACAGUGAUAUCCUUUGUGCGUAGUAAAGUGAAGUAUCCAAAACCACUUUUGCGCUACUAGAAUUUAGUUUUGCAGUCAGUUAUAUGUGUCAUUAAGUAGGAUUGCCAUAUGUCUGGGAAAACGUGGACAUGUCCUCUUUUGGGGGGCCAAUGUGCCCCCCCCCCAGGCGGAUUUUUACAUUUUAAAAUGUACUUACGGGACCGCCUCUCCUGGUAUGCCCUGCGGAGGACCUUACGGUCCCCAAAUAAUAAUAUAUUGGAGGUCCCAGGCCUCAAGGAGGUUAAACUGGCCUCAACCAGGGCCAGGGUCUUUUCGGCUUUGGCCCCAGCCUGGUAGAACACUCUAUUGUAGGAGACCAGGGUCCUGCGGGAGUUGAUAUCCUUCCGCAGGGCCUGCAAGAUGGAGCUGUUCUGCCUGGCCUUCGGUCUGGACCCAGUUUGGGACUCUGUACGUUACCUCUUUGGGCCUUUUAUCGGCUCAUAUGGGACCAACAUGGAUAACUGGCCCUGAUAUAUAUUUGAGGUUCCCGACCCCUAUGGUUGUAAUUUCAUGGACAGUCAUUUAAUUUUAUCCUGAUUCUAAUUUUAAGCUGUAUUGUAAUCAAUUGUUAAAAUCAAUAAAUCAGUAAUCAAUAAAUUACUCGAGGGGGCUGUCCCCCCAAAGUUGAUGUGCAUUGCUAUUCAAAUGGUGUGUGAGAGCUGCAUUUUGUUAUCAAUUAUGUGGAGCAGGGCUUACCUUCCAUAUUUUAUUCAAGUUGGCACCUCUGUAACACAGCAUCUCAGUCCUCAGAGUUUAGGAGACCCUUAAUGGAAGAGCUGUUUUGACUAAAUGAUGUAAGUUGGCUUUGUCUGAAAAUUCUGCGCAGCAGAAUCAUUAAAUGAACAUGAGCAUAGAAAGUUUACAUUCAUGAAAUGAUCUUAACAUCCUUUCGUCAAGGCAUCCUGGAUUAAAACUACAUUGAAGUGCUCAGCAGUUUAAGGAAUUAGUACUUUAAUUGCAUUGUUUAACCAAUUAACUCAGCUUCAGUGUUUAAUAAUGUAUUAUAGGAAAUAGUAAGUGAGACUUGUGGGCAUAGGGCGGUAUAUAAAUUCAAUAAAUAAUUAUGAUAAUAGGUCCAAUAACUGGUAUUUUUUUCUCCUUCUUUGCUGUAUUAUAGUAUUCCAUUUGUUCUAAGUAUAUAUUUACUUGCAUACAAGGAUCUAGAGAGAAAUCAGAGGCAAUUAUUACCAACAGAUAAUGCUAAAAAACUUACUACUAAGAAAUUCUAGAAUAUAUAUAUAUAUUAUCCUAGAAAAUUUAUAAUAACAAUAGAGCUAUAUUUUCAGAUGAAAAGAUUAUGAUGACAUCAUAACCAACUACUCAUGAUAGUCUGAGCUGUUAAUGUAAAUCCAAACCUAGCUAUCCAUAUUCAGGAUAUUUAUUUGUUUUUAUAGCUGCAUCUCUAUUGUCUGGUGCUGUUUCUGAAGAUUAGUCCAUCCAAUCAUCAUAAUCAGUCAUCUAUUUUCCUACAGCAAAAAGAAAAUAUUUCUUUAUUUUUUUAUUGAAAAUACUGUUUUAUCGAACAAAAAGAAAAUUAUGUUUGCAUUGGCAAACAGACAACAACAAAACCUUAGGAGAUUUGCUUGGCAUUGCAAAUUAAUAGUGGAAAAACAGAAGAAUUAUAAUUAGAAAGGAAAAUAACGUUCCUUUUUCAUAUACUUUGUGUGUUUGGGGGGGAGUGUGUGUGUGUGUGUGUGUGUGUGUGUGUGUGUGUCCCUCACCAGCUUCUUAGAAAAUAAUGCAAUUCAGGCUGAGGAGAAUUACCGCCUAGCAGAUUCUAUUUAUCUGUAGCUUAAAAAGCAGCUGCGUUUUUGUAAAAACCAAUGAAUGUGGCAGUCCUACUUAAAGGUAGAAGAAAAAGAACACCCCUUGUUUUGUAAUAAGGGGAUUUUCAAUUUAAAAGCGAGAGAGGGCCUGUUGUGUGAAGUAUGGUUAUUACAUUCAUUGUAUUCUAUCUCACCCACCAGGAGGCUAAUAAUGAAGGAGUCAGUAAAGGAGGCCAGUGCCAUGGGGGUUAUCUCACAGUCCCAGAUGAUGGCUAAGUUGAAGAAGGCAGAAUCGCUUUUGGAUGACAUUCAGGUCUGAAUGAUGAUUUAGAGAAGAAAAGGCUAUUCUUUCCAAGGUAAACAGUCCAUUUCAUCUGUCGGUUGUAUAUAUUGGUCUAAAAUAUGUUUAUAUAGAUAUCUGUAAAAUUUACUUUUAUCGCUUUCAGGUUUUUUUCUUUCCGUGUGACAGUGAGCUUUCAGCAAUGUAUUUCUGAGACAAAAGAUGCACUACGGACUCAGCCACACCUAAAGGAAAGCUUUGAAAGAAUUGCCAGGUUCACUUUUAAUAAUGAGAUAAAAAAUUGCCCACAUGGAGUCAGCAGAAAAUGAACCAGUGGCAGGCCUGCUGCAAAUAAUUCCAGCAAGGGCCAAGAGACUAGUUGAAAAAUGACUUCAUGAGGUGAAUAUCCUUAGUUCUUACUUACGGUUUUGUAACUAUGCAAUCAUUUUCUCUUUUAGGAGCCAUGAAUGAAAGUGGAUUUCAGCACAAGCGCAUCUCCACGCUAAAUGGCCCUCUGAACAUUUGUCAUUUGUGUUGAGUCCGUUGACAGUCCAGCUAUCCUUAUUGCUGUUAUUUAUGACAACUAGUUUAAUAUAUGUAAAUAGGC
Molecule: non-coding RNA, 32005 nt
Organism: Podarcis lilfordi (Lilford's wall lizard)
Lineage: Eukaryota; Metazoa; Chordata; Lepidosauria; Squamata; Lacertidae
Source: the annotation of a GenBank genome assembly